GGGCCCGUAGCUCAGCCUGGAUAGAGCGGCAGUCAAUUCUCGGCCGAUCCCCCUAUGCCUUGGAGCGGGUUGAGCUGUAGGUCCGGGGUUCGAAUCCCCGCGGGCCCG
This 108-nucleotide transfer RNA is filed under the name Candidatus Bathyarchaeota archaeon. RNAcentral's name for it is "tRNA-OTHER". It matches the Rfam family "tRNA". From Rfam's summary of the family: Transfer RNA (tRNA) molecules are approximately 80 nucleotides in length. Their secondary structure includes four short double-helical elements and three loops (D, anti-codon, and T loops). The record is from RNAcentral. RNAcentral also lists the same sequence under 1 other name. Lineage: Archaea; Thermoproteati; Candidatus Bathyarchaeota.